CAUUUCAAUUCAUCUUUCCUCCAAAUAUACUAUUAAUGUUCCAGAAGAGAUGCAUAGACCCACUUAUUAGCCUACAUAUAUUAGCUAAACUAUUAGCAAGAUCUAUUACAUUCUCUGUUUGUGUGUGCUGAAUCAAAACGAUCUGAAAUUUUGAGCCUAGCUUGGAGUAGGAAAUCGGCAACAAUAUUAUUAAUUCACCGAUCGUUCCUAACACAAGUGACAAAAGGCUUGCUGGUUGGUACCCGAGAUCCCAAAUUUGAACCCUAAUUGAUUCACAUUUCCUACUAAGUUUAUUUCUAAAAAAAAACAAUCAAAGUGUGUAGCAUGCUAUCUUUCCCUCUUUUUUUUUUAAAAAAGCUAUAUGAUAAUUGAGUA
Molecule: long non-coding RNA, 375 nt
Filed under: Ananas comosus (pineapple)
Lineage: Eukaryota; Viridiplantae; Streptophyta; Magnoliopsida; Poales; Bromeliaceae
Description: long non-coding RNA (ACOM_LNC003875)
Source: RNAcentral